AUGGGCGCCAGCCUCUUCAGAGGGUUCAUGGAGACCAGGUUCCCCAAGCGGCGUCCAGGAUUCGUGUCCCGGCGCAAGAGGGCCAGCCUGCGACCCAAAGGUCCACACUACUGGGUGAAGUGCAUGCCGGGGGAGCCUAUCCCUUCGAGCCAGCCGAAUGAGGGCAGCGUACAGGGGAGGAAGGAGAAGAAGCGGAUCAAGCAGCGCAAGGACUUUAUCAUGGCUGAGAAGAGGAAGCGCAAAGCACAGUAUUCUGUUGCUGUGAAGAGGAAGGAGGCAGAACGGACGGAAAGAAAGAUGGCCGCCGUGGCAAGAGACCGGGCAUGGGUGGAAAGGCUGGCAGAGCUAAAACAGAUGGAGGCAGAAAAGAGAGCUGCAAUGGCUUGA
This 387-nucleotide ribosomal RNA is filed under the name Triticum aestivum (bread wheat). Its description in RNAcentral is "partial small subunit ribosomal RNA". Lineage: Eukaryota; Viridiplantae; Streptophyta; Magnoliopsida; Poales; Poaceae. The record is from RNAcentral.